Molecule: ribosomal RNA, 253 nt
Filed under: uncultured bacterium
Lineage: Bacteria
Description: partial 16S ribosomal RNA
Rfam family: Bacterial small subunit ribosomal RNA
Source: RNAcentral
UACGUAGGGUGCAAGCGUUGUCCGGAAUUAUUGGGCGUAAAGAGCUCGUAGGCGGUUCGUCGCGUCGGCUGUGAAAUCCCGAGGCUCAACCUCGGGUCUGCAGUCGAUACGGGCGGACUGGAGUUCGGCAGGGGAGACUGGAAUUCCUGGUGUAGCGGUGAAAUGCGCAGAUAUCAGGAGGAACACCAAUGGCGAAGGCAGCUCUCUGGGACGGUACUGACGCUGAGACGCGAAAGCGUGGGGAGCGAACAGG